AUUGAACGCUGGCGGCAGGCCUAACACAUGCAAGUCGAACGGCAGCACAGAAGAGCUUGUUCUUUGGGUGGCGAGUGGCGGACGGGUGAGUAAUGUCUGGGAAACUGCCCGACGGAGGGGGAUAACUACUGGAAACGGUAGCUAAUACCGCAUAACGUCGCGAGACCAAAGUGGGGGACCUUCGGGCCUCACACCAUCGGAUGUGCCCAGAUGGGAUUAGCUAAUAGGUGGGGUAAUGGCUCACCUAGGCGACGAUCCCUAGCUGGUCUGAGAGGAUGACCAGCCACACUGGAACUGAGACACGGUCCAGACUCCUACGGGAGGCAGCAGUGGGGAAUAUUGCACAAUGGGCGCAAGCCUGAUGCAGCCAUACCGCGUGUAUGAAGAAGGCCUUCGGGUUGUAAAGUACUUUCAGCGGGGAGGAAGGCGGUGAGGUUAAUAACCUUGCCGAUUGACGUUACCCGCAGAAGAAGCACCGGCUAACUCCGUGCCAGCCGCCGCCGUAA
RNAcentral lists this ribosomal RNA (506 nucleotides) under uncultured bacterium. RNAcentral describes it as "partial 16S ribosomal RNA". It matches the Rfam family "Bacterial small subunit ribosomal RNA", at positions 30 to 523 of the family's 1533-position model. The record is from RNAcentral.